CCCUUAGAUGUCCUGGGCCGCACGCGCGCUACACUGAUGCAUUCAACGAGUUUUACCUUGGCCGAGAGGCCUGGGCAAUCUUUUAAACCUGCAUCGUGAUAGGGAUAGAUUAUUGCAAUUAUUAAUCUUGAACGAGGAAUUCCUAGUAAACGCAGAUCACCAAUCUGCAUUGAUUACGUCCCUGCCCUUUGUACACACCGCCCGUCGCACCUACCGAUUGAAUGGUCCGGUGAAGCCUCGGGAUUGUGGCCAGUUCACUUUAUUGGGAGUUGGCUGCGAGAACUUGUCUAAACCUUAUCAUUUAGAGGAAGGUGAAGUCGUAACA
This 325-nucleotide ribosomal RNA is filed under the name uncultured eukaryote. RNAcentral describes it as "partial 18S ribosomal RNA". It matches the Rfam family "Eukaryotic small subunit ribosomal RNA", at positions 1470 to 1796 of the family's 1831-position model. The record is from RNAcentral.